RNAcentral lists this ribosomal RNA (253 nucleotides) under uncultured bacterium. RNAcentral's name for it is "partial 16S ribosomal RNA". It matches the Rfam family "Bacterial small subunit ribosomal RNA", at positions 524 to 776 of the family's 1533-position model. The record is from RNAcentral.
UACGUAGGUGGCAAGCGUUGUCCGGAUUUAUUGGGCGUAAAGCGAGCGCAGGCGGUUCCUUAAGUUUGAUGUGAAAGCCCCCGGCUCAACCGGGGAAGGUCAUUGGAAACUGGGGAACUUGAGUACAGAAGAGGAAUGUGGAACUCCAUGUGUAGCGGUGAAAUGCGCAGAGAUAUGGAGGAACACCAGUGGCGAAGGCGGCUCUCUGGUCUGCAACUGACGCUGAUGUGCGAAAGCGUGGGGAUCAAACAGG